GCUGGGCGGGUGGUGCACGCCUGUAAUCCCAGUGGCUGGGGAGGCUGAGACAGGAGGAUCACGGAGCCAGCCUCAGCAACUUAGAGAGGGCUUAGCAACUCAGUGAGACCCUGUCUCUA
Molecule: small RNA, 119 nt
Filed under: Marmota monax (woodchuck)
Lineage: Eukaryota; Metazoa; Chordata; Mammalia; Rodentia; Sciuridae
Source: RNAcentral